RNAcentral lists this ribosomal RNA (475 nucleotides) under uncultured bacterium. RNAcentral describes it as "bacterial SSU rRNA". It matches the Rfam family "Bacterial small subunit ribosomal RNA", at positions 355 to 825 of the family's 1533-position model. The record is from RNAcentral.
UGGGGAAUAUUGGACAACGGGGGCAACCCUGAUCCAGCGAUGCCGCGUGUGUGAAGAAGGCCUGCGGGUUGUAAAGCACUUUAGUUGGGGAGGAAAGGUAUGUACUGCAUAAGUGCAUGCUGUGACGUUACCCAAAGAAUAAGGAUCGGCUAACUCCGUGCCAGCAGCCGCGGUAAUACGGAGGAUCCAAGCGUUAUCCGGAAUCAUUGGGCGUAAAGCGUACCGACAGGUGGUUAAGAAAGUCAGAGGUGAAAUCCCAAGGCUCAACUUUGGGACUGUCCUUUGAAACUUCUUGACUAGAGGGGCAAAGAGGAAGCUGGAACGAACGGUGUAGUAGUGAAAUGCGUUGAUAUCGUUCGGAACACCAAUAGCGAAGGCGGCCCACUGGAUCGGUACUGACGCUGAGGUGCGAAAGCGUGGGGAGCAAACAGGAUUAGAUACCCCCGUAGUCCCUGAGCGGGCUGGCAAGGCGCAU